RNAcentral lists this transfer RNA (68 nucleotides) under Zichya tenggerensis. Its description in RNAcentral is "tRNA-Leu". Lineage: Eukaryota; Metazoa; Arthropoda; Insecta; Orthoptera; Tettigoniidae. The record is from RNAcentral.
ACUACUUUGGCAGAAUAAGUGCGUUGAAUUUAGAAUUCACCAAUGUAAAUUAUAUAUUACAAGUAGUA